UACGAAGGGGGCUAGCGUUGCUCGGAAUCACUGGGCGUAAAGGGUGCGUAGGCGGGUCUUUAAGUCAGGGGUGAAAUCCUGGAGCUCAACUCCAGAACUGCCUUUGAUACUGAGAUCUUGAGUUCCGGGAGAGGUGAGUGGAACUGCGAGUGUAGAGGUGAAAUUCGUAGAUAUUCGCAAGAACACCAGUGGCGAAGGCGGACUCACCUGGCC
Molecule: ribosomal RNA, 213 nt
Filed under: uncultured bacterium
Lineage: Bacteria
Description: partial 16S ribosomal RNA
Rfam family: Bacterial small subunit ribosomal RNA
Source: RNAcentral